This 73-nucleotide transfer RNA is filed under the name Camelus ferus (Wild Bactrian camel). It matches the Rfam family "tRNA". Rfam says of the family: Transfer RNA (tRNA) molecules are approximately 80 nucleotides in length. Their secondary structure includes four short double-helical elements and three loops (D, anti-codon, and T loops). The record is from Rfam by way of RNAcentral. Lineage: Eukaryota; Metazoa; Chordata; Mammalia; Artiodactyla; Camelidae.
GAGGGCAUAGCUCAAGUGGCAGAGCACAUGCUUAGCAUGCAUGAGGUCCUGGGUUCCAUCCCCAGUACCUCCU